Molecule: ribosomal RNA, 492 nt
Filed under: uncultured bacterium
Lineage: Bacteria
Description: partial 16S ribosomal RNA
Rfam family: Bacterial small subunit ribosomal RNA
Source: RNAcentral
AUUGAACGCUGGCGGCAUGCUUUACACAUGCAAGUCGAACGGUAACAGGCCUUCGGGUGCUGACGAGUGGCGAACGGGUGAGUAAUGCAUCGGAACGUACCCAGAGGUGGGGGAUAACGCAGCGAAAGCUGUGCUAAUACCGCAUGUGAUCUGAGGAUGAAAGCGGGGGACCGAGCAGCAAUGUUUGGCCUCGCGCCUUUGGAGCGGCCGAUGUCGGAUUAGCUAGUUGGUGGGGUAAAGGCCUACCAAGGCGACGAUCCGUAGCUGGUCUGAGAGGACGACCAGCCACACUGGGACUGAGACACGGCCCAGACUCCUACGGGAGGCAGCAGUGGGGAAUUUUGGACAAUGGGCGCAAGCCUGAUCCAGCAAUGCCGCGUGCGGGAAGAAGGCCUUCGGGUUGUAAACCGCUUUUGGCAGGAACGAAACGGUGUCCGCUAAUACCGGGCGGUAAUGACGGUACCUGCAGAAUAAGCACCGGCUAACUACGUG